Molecule: long non-coding RNA, 1809 nt
Organism: Equus quagga
Lineage: Eukaryota; Metazoa; Chordata; Mammalia; Perissodactyla; Equidae
Exons: 5
Source: RefSeq, a predicted model, not a curated record
UGCCUGCUGUGGCCUGUAGGAAUGGGGGAGGCUGAGAGGGACUUCCCUUCACCCCCUCCCCUCCUCCAGCCUUCAGAGGAGGCCGCUUCCCUGUCACCAGACCUGAGGGGGCCCUCCCCUCCUCUUCCUUCACUGGCUAGACCUCCACCCUGGCCAGCACAGGAGGGGGCCCCGCCUGGCUCCCUCACCGCAGGGGCCGGCCGUGCCAGCGUUUCAGUGACCCCACAGGUGCCCUGGCUGGGCUCCAGCGGGGGAGAGGGGUGAAGAGAAGAACUCACCCAGGACCUGGAGCCCACCUGUCCUGCCAUCUUCUCUGCUAAGGCCCCACCCCACUGCAGUGCAGGGGCGGCCGAAUCCAGGGUGCCUUCCUGGGAGCAGAAACAUCUGAAGAGGACUGUGGAGAAGAGUGUGGGAUCGGUUCCCAAACCUGAGAGGGACAUAAAUUUUCCCCAGCAGCACCCCGGAAACGGAGGGUUCCUGGGAAGAUGAAACGGGAUGGCGUAUACAAGGCCCCGGACAGGGACAGGUUCCCCAGUCAGACACCCCCACGGGACGCCCUCCCCCAGGCUCCUAGCCGCUCCCGGCCCCCAGCUGGGGAAGACUGGAACUCAAAUGUGGCAGUGACCCAGAUUUCAACAGGGAACGAUUGAGCCACAAGAUGGAAGGCACAUGGGCUCCUGACUGGUUCCGUGGAGCAGAGUAAACCUUGUUCUUUAAGUCACAUGAUUGUUGGAACUCUUGUUUUGGCAGCUUGUUUUUUUAUCCUAAUUAACAUAGUUAAUUAACACAGAUAAAAUAAACAAUAAAAUAGAAUAGAGAGCUCAGGAACAUAUUCAUAUCCCUAUAUGGGAUCAUGGCAUAUGUUAGAGAUAUCGCUAAUCACAGGGAAAAGAAAGACUAGUUAAUAACACAGCUGUGACACGUCAUUCACAAAAAUAAAAUGUAGAUGUUUUAGUGACCUAAACAUGAAAAACAAUUAGAGGUUAAUAUUUUUCAUAACCAGAAUAAAGAAAGAUUUCUCGAAUAACACAAUAAGAACAACGAAUAAAAUAAAAAAUAGAUUUAUUUAACUUUAUUAAAAUUAAAUCUUGUCUAAGGCAAAAUAUACCAUAAGCAAGACUAAAAGGCAGGCAAUUUACUGGGAAAUAUUUGCAAUAUAUAACGUAUCUAUCAGAAUGUAUAAAGAAUGCCUAUAAUCUGUAAGAAAAAGACAAACAGCCAACAGAAAAGUAAGAAACAAUAUGAACAGACAAUUCACAGAAGAGGAUAGUCAAAUGGCCACUAAAGCCAUGAAAAGAAAAAUGAGAUACUUUUUUCACUCAUCAGAUUGGGAAAAAUUAAGAGGCCUAGUAAUAUAAAGUGUUGGUGAGAAUGUGAGGAAAAUGAUACUGCUAUACACGGCCGGUGGAAGUGUAAAUAUUUCCAUUCCGAGAGCAAAUAAGCAGCAACUAAUAACAUUUAAAAAUGUGCAUACUCUAUGACCUAUUCAGAAAAUUCAAUUUCUGGUUUUGUUCCCUGGAGAAAUUCCGACAUGUGCAUACAUAAGAUGUACACUGUACUACACUAUUGUUUAAAGUAGCCAAAUAUUGGAGACAAUAUAACUGAAUAUCUGUAGAGGAAUAAAUUAAUGAUAUAUGAUAUGUUUAUACAAUGGGAUAUUAUACAACACUUUAAGAGGAAUGAAUUAGAUCUAUACAUCUCCACAUGGAUAGUUUUAAAUAAUGUAAUGUGGGUCAAUAGAAACAAGAUUCAGAAUAAUAUGGAAAAUAUACCACUAAUAUACCUUUUAAAAUGUAAAAAUAGUAUAAA